RNAcentral lists this ribosomal RNA (253 nucleotides) under uncultured bacterium. RNAcentral describes it as "partial 16S ribosomal RNA". It matches the Rfam family "Bacterial small subunit ribosomal RNA", at positions 524 to 776 of the family's 1533-position model. The record is from RNAcentral.
UACGUAGGGUGCGAGCGUUAAUCGGAAUUAUUGGGCGUAAAGCGCGCGUAGGCGGCCACUUAAGUCGGAUGUGAAAGCCCCUGGCUCAACUGGGGAAGUGCACCCGAAACUGAAUGGCUUGAGUGCGAAAGAGGGUCGCGGAAUUCCCGGUGUAGAGGUGAAAUUCGUAGAUAUCGGGAGGAACACCGGUGGCGAAGGCGGCGACCUGGGUCGACACUGACGCUGAGGCGCGAAAGCGUGGGGAGCAAACAGG